UGCCUCGAACCAAGACGGAACCGGCGACCUUUAAACCUUCAGUCUAAGACCUUCCCAACUGAGCUAUCGAGGC
This is a non-coding RNA of Oesophagostomum dentatum (nodular worm), 73 nucleotides long. The record is from the annotation of a GenBank genome assembly. Lineage: Eukaryota; Metazoa; Nematoda; Chromadorea; Rhabditida; Strongylidae.